This 459-nucleotide ribosomal RNA is filed under the name uncultured bacterium. Its description in RNAcentral is "partial 16S ribosomal RNA". It matches the Rfam family "Bacterial small subunit ribosomal RNA", at positions 338 to 795 of the family's 1533-position model. The record is from RNAcentral.
CCUACGGGUGGCAGCAGUGAGGAAUAUUGGUCAAUGGCCGAGAGGCUGAACCAGCCAAGUCGCGUGAGGGAAGCAGGUCCAGCGGGUUGUAAACCUCUUUUGUCAGGGAGCAAAGCGGGGGACGUGUGCCCGGUUGAGUGUACCUGAAGAAAAAGCAUCGGCUAACUCCGUGCCAGCAGCCGCGGUAAUACGGAGGAUGCGAGCGUUAUCCGGAUUUAGUGGGUUUAAAGGGUGCGCAGGCGGUUUGUAAAGUCAGUGGUCAAAGCCCGGGGCUCAACCCCGGACCGCCGUUGAAACUGGCUGUCUCGAGUUGGCGAGAAGUAUGCGGAAUGCGCGGUGUAGCGGUGAAAUGCAUAGAUAUCGCGCAGAACUCCGAUUGCGAAGGCAGCAUGCCGGCGCCAAACUGACGCUGAGGCACGAAAGCGUGGGUAUCGAACAGGAUUAGAUACCCGAGUAGUC